Molecule: ribosomal RNA, 497 nt
Filed under: uncultured bacterium
Lineage: Bacteria
Description: partial 16S ribosomal RNA
Rfam family: Bacterial small subunit ribosomal RNA
Source: RNAcentral
GAUGAACGCUGGCGGCGUGCCUAAUACAUGCAAGUCGAGCGAACGGACGAGAAGCUUGCUUCUCUGAUGUUAGCGGCGGACGGGUGAGUAACACGUGGAUAACCUACCUAUAAGACUGGGAUAACUUCGGGAAACCGUAGUUAAUUCCGGAUAAUAUUUUGAACCGCAUGGUUCAAAAGUGAAAGACGGUCUUGCUGUCACUUAUAGAUGGAUCCGCGCUGCAUUAGCUAGUUGGUAAGGUAACGGCUUACCAAGGCAACGAUGCAUAGCCGACCUGAGAGGGGGAUCGGCCACCCUGGACCUGAGACACGGUCCAGACUCCUACGGGAGGCAGCAGUAGGGAAUCUUCCGCAAUGGGCGGAAGCCUGACGGAGCAACGCCGCGUGAGUGAUGAAGGUCUUCGGAUCGUAAAACUCUGCUAUUAGGGAAGAACAUAUGUGUAAGUAACUGUGCACAUCUUGACGGUACCUAAUCAGAAAGCCACGGCUAACUACGUG